GUACUGAAACAUACACUUGAAGGAGGAUUUAGCAGUAAGCAGGAAAUAGAGCGUCCCGCUGAAACUGGCCCUGAAGCGCGCACACACCGCCCGUCACUCUCCCCAAAAACCCCAGCCAAUUAAUUAAAAUCUAAUAAUCAAAGAGGGGAGGCAAGUCGUAACAUGGUAAGUGUACCGGAAGGUGCGCUUGGAAAAAUC
RNAcentral lists this ribosomal RNA (198 nucleotides) under Ebinania vermiculata. RNAcentral's name for it is "partial 12S ribosomal RNA". It matches the Rfam family "Bacterial small subunit ribosomal RNA", at positions 1302 to 1533 of the family's 1533-position model. Lineage: Eukaryota; Metazoa; Chordata; Actinopteri; Perciformes; Psychrolutidae. The record is from RNAcentral.